AUGACGUCAAGUCAUCAUGCCCCUUAUGUCCAGGGCUUCACACAUGCUACAAUGGUCGGUACAAAGGGCUGCGAUGCCGUGAGGUGGAGCGAAUCCUUUCAAAGCCGGUCUCAGUUCGGAUCGGGGUCUGCAACUCGACCCCGUGAAGUCGGAGUCGCUAGUAAUCGCAGAUCAGCAACGCUGCGGUGAAUACGUUCCCGGGCCUUGUACACACCGCCCGUCACGUCAUGAAAGUCGGUAACACCCGAAGCCGGUGGCCUAACCCUUGUGGAGGGAGCCGUCGAAGGUGGGAUCGGCGAUUGGGACGAAGUCGUAACAAGGUAGCCGUACCGGAAGGUGCGCUGGAUC
This 348-nucleotide ribosomal RNA is filed under the name Mycolicibacterium peregrinum. RNAcentral's name for it is "bacterial SSU rRNA". It matches the Rfam family "Bacterial small subunit ribosomal RNA", at positions 1179 to 1524 of the family's 1533-position model. The record is from RNAcentral. Lineage: Bacteria; Bacillati; Actinomycetota; Actinomycetes; Mycobacteriales; Mycobacteriaceae.